GAUGAAGAACGCAGCGAAAUGCGAUAAGUAGUGUGAAUUGCAGAAUUCAGUGAAUCAUCGAAUCUUUGAACGCACAUUGCGCCCCUUGGUAUUCCAUGGGGCAUGCCUGUUCGAGCGUCAUUUGUACCUUCAAGCUCUGCUUGGUGUUGGGUGUUUGUCUCGCCUCUGCGUGUAGACUCGCCUCAAAACAAUUGGCAGCCGGCGUAUUGAUUUCGGAGCGCAGUACAUCUCGCGCUUUGCACUCAUAACGACGACGUCCAAAAAUACAUUUUUACACUCUUGACCUCGGAUCAGGUAGGGAUACCCGCUGAACUUAAGCAUAUCAAUAAGCGGAGGA
This 337-nucleotide unclassified non-coding RNA is filed under the name soil metagenome. Its description in RNAcentral is "partial contains 5.8S ribosomal RNA, internal transcribed spacer 2, and large subunit ribosomal RNA". The stretch from base 1 to 120 matches the Rfam family "5.8S ribosomal RNA", at positions 35 to 154 of the family's 154-position model. The record is from RNAcentral.